ACUUACGGCCGUACCACCCUGAAAACGCCCGAUCUCGGAAGCUAUGCAGGGCCUGGUUAGUACCUGGAUGGGAGGCCGCCUGGGAGUACCAGGUGCUGUAAGCU
RNAcentral lists this ribosomal RNA (104 nucleotides) under Monopterus albus (swamp eel). Lineage: Eukaryota; Metazoa; Chordata; Actinopteri; Synbranchiformes; Synbranchidae. The record is from RNAcentral.